AUUUGGAAGGGUUCGCGGAUGGCCAAGGUUGGAUUUGGGUUAGAGAAUGGCCAUGGUUGGGAUUGGGUUUGGAGAUGGCCAAGGUUGUGUUUGGGUUAGAGGAUGGUCAUGGCUGGGUAUGGGUUAGGAGAGGGCCUUGGUUGGGUUUGGAAGGGUUUGGGGAUGGGCAAGGUUGGAUUUGGGUUAGAGAAUGGCCAUGGUUGGGAUUGGGUUUGGAGAUGGCCAAAGUUGGGUUUGUAGGGGCUUAGAGAUGGUCAUGGUUGGGCUUGGAAGGGUUGUGGGAUGGCCAAGGUUGGAUUUGGGUUUGGGGAUGACCACGGUUGGGUUUGGAAGGGUUUGGGGAUGGCCACGAUCAGGCUUAGGAUUCUUGCGGACAGCCACAAUCAGUUUUAGGCGUUCCUGGA
Molecule: long non-coding RNA, 404 nt
Organism: Tympanuchus pallidicinctus (lesser prairie-chicken)
Lineage: Eukaryota; Metazoa; Chordata; Aves; Galliformes; Phasianidae
Exons: 4
Source: RefSeq, a predicted model, not a curated record